AUUGAACGCUGGCGGAAUGCUUUACACAUGCAAGUCGAACGGCAGCACGGGAGCUUGCUCCUGGUGGCGAGUGGCGAACGGGUGAGUAAUGCGUCGGAACGUACCGAGUAAUGGGGGAUAACGCGGCGAAAGUCGCGCUAAUACCGCAUACGCCCUGAGGGGGAAAGUGGGGGAUCGCAAGACCUCACGUUAUUCGAGCGGCCGACGUCUGAUUAGCUUGUUGGUGAGGUAAUGGCUCACCAAGGCGACGAUCAGUAGCGGGUCUGAGAGGAUGAUCCGUCACACUGGAACUGAGACACGGUCCAGACUCCUACGGGAGGCAGCAGUGGGGAAUUUUGGACAAUGGGGGCAACCCUGAUCCAGCCAUUCCGCGUGAGUGAAGAAGGCCUUCGGGUUGUAAAGCUCUUUCAGCUGGAACGAAACGGUAUUUCUUAAUACGGGAUGCUAAUGACGGUACCAGC
RNAcentral lists this ribosomal RNA (461 nucleotides) under uncultured bacterium. RNAcentral's name for it is "bacterial SSU rRNA". It matches the Rfam family "Bacterial small subunit ribosomal RNA", at positions 30 to 482 of the family's 1533-position model. The record is from RNAcentral.